GAUGAACGCUGGCGGCGUGCCUAACACAUGCAAGUCGAACGGGAUGCGUAUCGGAAAGCUUCGGCCGGAAGAUGCGUUAUCUAGUGGCGGACGGGUGAGUAACACGUGGGUAACCUGCCUUAUGGAGGGGGAUAACAGAGAGAAAUCACUGCUAAUACCGCAUAAGCACACAGUACCGCAUGGUACAGGGUGAAAAGAUUUAUCACCAUAAGAUGGACCCGCGUCUGAUUAGCCAGUUGGCAGGGUAAAAGCCUACCAAAGCAACGAUCAGUAGCCGAUCUGAGAGGAUGACCGGCCACAUUGGGACUGAGACACGGCCCAAACUCCUACGGGAGGCAGCAGUGGGGAAUAUUGCACAAUGGGGGAAACCCUGAUGCAGCGACGCCGCGUGAGUGAAGAAGUAUUUCGGUAUGUAAAGCUCUAUCAGCAGGGAAGAUAAUGACAGUACCUGACUAAGAAGCCCCGGCUAACUACGUGCCAGCAGCCGCGGUAAUACGUAGGGGGCAAGCGUUAUCCGGAUUUACUGGGUGUAAAGGGAGCGUAGACGGAGUGGCAAGUCUGAAGUGAAAACCCUGGGCUUAACCUGGGGACUGCUUUGGAAACUGUUAAUCUAGAGUGUUGGAGAGGUAAGUGGAAUUCCUGGUGUAGCGGUGAAAUGCGUAGAUAUCAGGAAGAACACCGGAGGCGAAGGCGGCUUACUGGACAAUAACUGACGUUGAGGCUCGAAAGCGUGGGGAUCAAACAGG
RNAcentral lists this ribosomal RNA (746 nucleotides) under uncultured Oribacterium sp. RNAcentral describes it as "bacterial SSU rRNA". It matches the Rfam family "Bacterial small subunit ribosomal RNA", at positions 28 to 776 of the family's 1533-position model. The record is from RNAcentral. Lineage: Bacteria; Bacillati; Bacillota; Clostridia; Lachnospirales; Lachnospiraceae.